This 821-nucleotide ribosomal RNA is filed under the name Brancus viciriaeformis. RNAcentral's name for it is "partial 28S ribosomal RNA". It matches the Rfam family "Eukaryotic large subunit ribosomal RNA", at positions 329 to 883 of the family's 3401-position model. The record is from RNAcentral. Lineage: Eukaryota; Metazoa; Arthropoda; Arachnida; Araneae; Salticidae.
UGAGACCGAUAGCAAACAAGUACCGUGAGGGAAAGUUGCAAAGAACUUUGAAGAGAGAGUUCAAGAGUACGUGAAAUUGCUCAGAGGUAAACGGGUGGGCCCUCGAAAUCCUGUGGCGAGAGGAUUCAGUCUGGCUCGAUAGACCUGCAGUAGGAAGACUCGAGUAGAGCUUCCUGUGACAGGGGCUGUCCUAUUGUGGGGCUUCUGUCGKUCCAGAUGCAUUUGUCUCUUGUCCGGAGGACGCAGCAGCCGGUUUGGAAGUGCAAGCAYGGCGGCCUGAAGUGCGGGUAAUGGCAGGUGGCCGGYGGCUCGCYUCGUGCGGGUUGUCGGUUGUUAGCCGUCCCAUMAGUGGCUCGUCUCCAGACCGAGGURUCRCRAGUCCCGUCAGGGACUCUUCGUCUCCACCCCRUAGUCGCGAGACUGGUCKUGGCAAGGGCUCCGUAUUYCCAYCGUCGCACUACUAAGGAGUGGGCGGAGGGCUGCGGGUCCCYGUUGGCUGYGACGGACUCGUYGGGGGCUCGAGGCUGGCAGCGAGUAGGUCGGUCACCCACCCGACCCGUCUUGAAACACGGACCAAGGAGUCUAACAUGUGCGCGAGUCAAUGGGUCUUGACUAGGCCCAGGGGCGCAAUGAAAGCGAAGGAUUGCCUAGCGCAGUCURAGUGGGGAUCCCUCUCUCUCGGGAGGGGGCGCACCCACGACCCGUCCUAUCUGAYUCGUCAGUUGGGCGGAGUCUGAGCGUACACGUUGGGACCCGAAAGAUGGUGAACUAUGCCCGGACAGGACGAGGCCAGAGGAAACUCUGGUGGAGGUCCGCAGCGG